Molecule: ribosomal RNA, 245 nt
Filed under: uncultured bacterium
Lineage: Bacteria
Description: partial 16S ribosomal RNA
Rfam family: Bacterial small subunit ribosomal RNA
Source: RNAcentral
UACGGAGGGUGCGAGCGUUAAUCGGAAUUACUGGGCGUAAAGCGCGCGUAGGCGGUUGGCUAAGUUUGCUGUGAAAGCCCCGGGCUUAACCUGGGAACUGCAGUGAAUACUGGUCGGCUAGAGUAUGGUAGAGGGUAGUGGAAUUUCCGGUGUAGCAGUGAAAUGCGUAGAGAUCGGAAGGAACACCAGUGGCGAAGGCGGCUAUCUGGACCAAUACUGACGCUGAGGUGCGAAAGCGUGGGGAG